GCAGAAGCAGCAGCAGCAGGCAGCAGGCAGCAGAAGCAGUAACCGGUCGGUCGGUUGUGGUGGAAUUAGGUGAACUGACGUGGAAAUUUUGACCCCUUGUGACACGCCCGCAGAACAUGUGCACAAAGCUACGAAGUUUCGAGAGAAGACGAAAACGAAGACCAAGAAGAAGACGAAGACGAAGAAGACGAAAAAGAAGAAGAAGAAGCCUUUGUAGUGUCGACUCCGUGGAUAUCACGUAGGGUAAGAAGUAUAUCUGCGAAUACGUUUCGCAUCGCGCCGCGAAAUGUGACGUGUGACUUUGGGAAGUCGAAGUCCGCUGGAUUUACGCUAAAUUUUCACGGACAAAGGAAACGCGAGUGUCGUUCACGUGUAGGUACCCCGGCGCACGCCGGCUGGACGUGUGCGACGAGAGUUUCGAAGAGAUAAUUAAUUGGAUACAAAAUUCGCUGACGAUUCGAUAGCGCCUCUCGUUUAUCAGAUCGUUAAGCGCGCGUCUUACCGCACUGUUAUGGUACACGGCUGAAACGGAAAUGCGGUUUUCGAAGGAUACAGAAUUGUACGUACGCGUCCUUCUCAGAUGCUAUCGAAUUACAAUAGUCUCUGCGUCGUGUCGUUUAAAUUUUACUAAUUCAACGAAGUAAAAGAAAAAAAAACUCAAACUCAAACUUCGUAAGAGAUAAAGACAUCGGGUAGGUAUCCCAAAACCAAUUCGAAUCACCUUUCCUUUUUUUUUCUCCAGGCCUAGUCACGACACGUGCUUUUUCCGGCUCAAAAAAAAAAAAAAAAAAACAGAACAAAGUAAAGUAAAUAAACUGAACUGGAAAAGUGCAUUUCGUGGAAUGCCGGAGAGAUAACGAGAGUACUGAAAUUUUUAGUUGUUCAGUUUGUGGGGCAAAAAAUCGAUGUGAAUGAAAAACUGAUCGGUCUGAGGUAUGUGUAUUAUUACAGGUACGACGUAGGUGUAUUUGAUAAAUCGAUAUACCGAUAAUAAAAAAUUAGGAGUAGAAAAAGAAGAGAAGAAAAAAAAAAAAAAAAAAACGAAAUAAGGAAGGAAAAAAAUAUUGCCGGCAACAGCAGCCGGCCACCAGAAACGUUGAUUAUUAUAAUAAAGGCCUCGGUAUUGAGUAAUAUUAUCACAACUUAUCUAAGUUCAGCUUGUUUCAGGUUGUAUAUAUGUCAUCCCCUGCAGAUAAUGCGGACAUCGUAAUAAUAACGUGUAGAGUGAAGGGUGUUCUUUUUACUUUUUAGCUUUUUUUCUCCCUAUAAAUAUAUCCGGACGGAAUUUUAUUACCAUCUCGUGUAAUGACAACG
RNAcentral lists this unclassified non-coding RNA (1314 nucleotides) under Athalia rosae (coleseed sawfly). Its description in RNAcentral is "misc RNA ENSAEAG00005007104.1". Lineage: Eukaryota; Metazoa; Arthropoda; Insecta; Hymenoptera; Athaliidae. The record is from RNAcentral.